AUUCACUCGUGAGUAUGUCUCUGUGGAUAAAACUUGUUUAAUUUAAUAACCUAGUUUUUCUUUUCUUUUCUUUUCUUUUCUUUUCUUUUCUUUUCUUUUUUUUCUUUUCUUUUUUUUUUCUUUUCUUCUCUCUUCUCUUCUUUUCUUUUUUCUUUUCUCUUCUUUUCAACAGAGAACCUAUUCUUCACAAAAAACCCAAACAGCAUUUUUGUGGCUUAGUUCCUGUUUAGCAGUACCCUUGCCUCUUGGAUGUGGAACUCUACUAUCACCAGGUGGCAACUCCCAACUUUGCAGGUAUGUUGCUGGUGGUCCUCAUCUGAAGGGCAUUAACAAAAAUGGAUCUUUGCUGAAAUUCAGCUGAAGCCCUCCUCGCCUUUUUCCCAUCCUGUGUGUUCUCUCUUGCUGCAACAUAAGUAAAA
RNAcentral lists this long non-coding RNA (419 nucleotides) under Felis catus (domestic cat). RNAcentral describes it as "lncRNA (ENSFCAG00000049407.1)". The record is from RNAcentral. Lineage: Eukaryota; Metazoa; Chordata; Mammalia; Carnivora; Felidae.